AGCGAACGCUGGCGGCAGGCUUAACACAUGCAAGUCGAGCGGGCCCUUCGGGGUCAGCGGCAGACGGGUGAGUAACGCGUGGGAACGUGCCCUUCGGUUCGGAAUAACUCAGGGAAACUUGAGCUAAUACCGGAUACGCCCUUAUGGGGAAAGGCUUGCUGCCGAAGGAUCGGCCCGCGUCUGAUUAGCUAGUUGGUGAGGUUAUGGCUCACCAAGGCGACGAUCAGUAGCUGGUCUGAGAGGAUGAUCAGCCAUACUGGGACUGAGACACGGCCCAGACUCCUACGGGAGGCAGCAGUGGGGAAUAUUGGACAAUGGGGGCAACCCUGAUCCAGCCAUGCCGCGUGAGUGAUGACGGCCUUAGGGUUGUAAAGCUCUUUUCUCCGGGACGAUAAUGACGGUACCGGAGGAAUAAGCCCCGGCUAACUUCGUG
Molecule: ribosomal RNA, 433 nt
Filed under: uncultured bacterium
Lineage: Bacteria
Description: partial 16S ribosomal RNA
Rfam family: Bacterial small subunit ribosomal RNA
Source: RNAcentral